GAUGGGCAAGAUAUCAUUCAAAUAUAUGAUGCCUGGUUAAACAAAAUGACAUUGUACAUUUCACAUAUAUUAUGGCUGGCUAAAAGACAUGAGACUGCAUAAUUCUCAUAUUUAAAACUAUAAAAAGGCUGGGCAACUCGCUCCCAGGAUGCUCCCCGAUCGCGUCCUUCGUUCAUCGUCCGAUUCUGGUCAACGUGGUCAUUUUUUAGCUUCGGGCCAUUGGAUGUUCAAUGGGAAUUGACCUGUGUCGUUUUCACCGCGUGGUAGAUCUUGGACAGGGAAUGACCUGUGGGAUCGGGCUGGAUCCGAUUGGCUGGGUGAAACUAUCCUGGGUGUCCGUGCGCCUCUCCACACGCGCUGCGUCGUCCGCGUCGUGUGGCGUGGGCGAGCCGCAGAGGGCUGGCCAGCGCUUAUGCACCCGAUUUCUCUGCCCAUGUCUUUGCUACGCCGAUGAUGGGUGGGCCGUUGUUGUCUUUGGUCCCGCUCGUCGGUUACACUGGGCGUCCGUCCCGUGGUGUAGGGUGUAGGCUAGAGUUUUCUAGGGUCAACCGCUCUUGGCGGGACGCUCCUGGCGCACUGCGCGCGUUGUGCGUUGUGGGCAGCAGCUGCGGAGGGGCCGGUCGGUGCUUGUGCACCCGGCUUGUGCGCCCACCUUUGGCCUGCCGUAAUGACGGGUGGGCCAGCACUGCUUCUGGUCCCGCUUGUCAGCUUCACUGGGUACGUGUCUCGUCGUCUCGUUGGCUGGGUCGGUCGUUCCCGCGUGAGGAGGUUUUGGCAAUCAACUCCGCGCGGCACGCGACGUGGGGCCUGUGCCAGGUCGUGGGCACUGGUUUUUCGUGUGGCCGUUCAUUUUGCUUGCGUUCAAUGACCAAUGGGCCUUAUACUGCUGGUCCCAUGCGUAAGCCUAAUGGUCUGUCUCCUUCCAUGCACAUCUCUUCACGCGGCAGGGUGAAAGCAACCCUAGAGCCCUCCUCAUUCCAUCCACUCCCCAAUGCCUCCUCCUCAUCCCCAGCCGGUGGCUCAACCUCUCGUGCCCUCGCCGCCAUCAACCUCUCGUGCACUCACACGCCAGCCGCCGAUAUCCCGCGCCCUCACCCGCCAGUAGCCGAAGUCGCUCUCCCCCGCAGGCCGCCGUGCUCGGGAUUUAUGGCUGCUCCUUCGCCUCGCCCAUGUAGAUCCGCCAUUGCCUCCCUCCCUUGUUGAUGUUCAUCUUAUCUAUUUAUGCAGGGGGCUCGUCCUUCCGUGGUGCUCAGCCACCAUCCGGUUUGGAGGGGGAAUAGGAGACUCCCAACGAAAACGAGUGUGCUAGCGGUGGACCCAAGGAUGCGUGGUGAUUGUGCCAGGUCCAUGCUCCAGUUCUUCUGUUGGAACUACGAGAGUGCAGCUAAAUAAGAGUUGUUGGCAGUAGCAACCUACACAUGUGGAUACAGUGGUUAUGGCGGCUCAAAGGGAAGUUUUGUCUGCCAGACAACAACUCACAACUUAGUGGCGGCUCAAUGUACAUAUGAUCUAUUUCUUCUUGGAGAUAUCUACUAUCAUAUUAUGACUUGGUGCUAUCUGAACCUUCUAUUUUCUCACCUUUUUUGGCGGCAAUUAUCCCUUAGACUGCAAUAGUUUUUAUAGGUGCCAUUGUAAGUGUAGGUUUUCUACAGUUAAGCCUCUUGCAUUGCAAAAAGCUACAUUCCAUUGUUUUUCUACGUGCCAUUGUAAGUGCAGGUUUUCUACUAGCUUCAACAUAGAUAAUUAGCAUGAGAGAGGCUUAACUGUAGCUUUUUGCAAUGCUAGAAGGACAUAUUCAGUACUGAAAAUCUAGACUGUUCUUUCCACUCUGUAACAACUUCUAUGCUUGCGCUACCAUGAUAUCACUACAACAUUUCCCUAUAAAAUUUUAGUAGUUGCAUGUAAACUGAAUUGAUUUACCAGUAAAAAUCUGGACAACUCAUUCCAGUCGAUAAUAACCAUUGUGGCAUUACCAUGAUAUGUCAUGUAUUUGCUCCGAGUCGUAGUAUGUUGCAGAAAGUAUAAUAAGAGAUAGAAUGUAUGCACUAUGGCGAAUGUAUGCAUUAUGGCUAGCAGUAACAUUUUUUUGACUUGCGCAGCAUUUGAUCUAUCUAUUUCUGCAGGCUAUUUCUCAUGUUGCAACCUUUUCCCGUAGAAUCAAAACGAGUUAGAUGGAAGAAAUUGCAGGAGCUUGCUAUUAUUAGAGAAGGAAUGGUAUUCCCGGCGUGACAUUCAAAAGCAGUCAAGAUGGUGAGGUUUAGAACGGAGGAGCUCCGCGGAAUUAUGGAUAGAAAAUAUCCAUAACAUGUCUGUCAUUGCCAUGUUGACCGCGGUAUGUGACCAAGCAGUGACAGCUGUCUCUAAUUAUCAAUUUUAUACAGUAGAAUCUUCUUGAUUGAUGAUUUUGUAGUCUUCUCUUAGUUGUACUAUAUUAAUUCUUAAAACUAGAUCAUUUAAAAUUAGUUAGAUUUAAUGAGUUGUUUCACUGUUUUCAAAUAAGUAGUUUAAGCCCUUAUUGUGUUCUGGAGCAUAUUCUUUCUGCCUUUUUAUGAUUGAUUUAUGCUCUCAAAAGCUUAAUUGUAACUAUCGGCGUAUAAUCUCAUGGCUCAAAAUCUUAAUUGUUGAAUGUAUUAAAAUUUAUGAUCUGGAGUUUGCACUAUAUUUCAUACAGCGGUAUUCCCAGUAACUGAAUGUUAAGAGAACUGACGAUCCCAGGUUGUACAUUCAGUUACUGGGAAAUGCUUUUAUCUUGUAGGCUAGUUUGACACUUACUUUUUCAAUAAUGAGAUGACCAUGAGCAGUGUAUCAAGGUCUUUUAAAUACUAACGUUGUGUUAAGAUUAGUAAAAGAAGGAUUGAUAGCGGCAUACCUUAACUCGACUGAUUCUUUAAUUGCUGCCUCUCUAAGCCUUGAUUAGCCAUGGAGAUACUGAAGUUCCAAAGCCACAAGUUAGGCCAUCCUUCUAAGAUCCGUUCAUCCCAGUUCAUUAAUUUGUUUGAAAUAUAUAUUUAUAUUCCAAAAUUGCUCAAUCUCCAGCAGGCCUCAAGGUUAUCAGAUGAAAUCCGGUUAAAUUUUCCUCUAGACUUAGUUGAAAGUAUUCCUUUUGUUAUCCAGUUUUUUGCUACGCAUGUUACCUUUGUCGCUGAAUAUUGCCUACAGUUUAUAUAUAGUAGACUCACAUGAUUACCUGAUGACUCGUUCACGCAAGAACUAUUGUCAAUUUUUUCCUUUUCUGCAAUGAUGGUCGUAGCCCUUUGAUUCUACAAGCCGCAAAGGAGCAAAGUGUAGAAAAAUAUGUCCAUUGUUGUUGAAUUGGUGGGAUUGUCACCAAGUUAGUGCUGCAGAUUGUUUCUAUUUUAGAGGAAGAAGCCAAAUCAUGUUGUUCAUUGUAAAUCUUGAAAAACUUGUUUAUUGUCACUUUUAUAUCUGUUAUAAACUUUUGUUCAUGAUGUGGUACUUGUCAA
Triticum aestivum (bread wheat) is the source of this 3464-nucleotide long non-coding RNA. RefSeq lists it as uncharacterized. The record is from RefSeq and is a predicted model, not a curated record. NCBI's taxonomy places the organism in Eukaryota, Viridiplantae, Streptophyta, Magnoliopsida, Poales, Poaceae. The transcript has 3 exons.